This 76-nucleotide transfer RNA is filed under the name Corynebacterium sp. Its description in RNAcentral is "tRNA-Glu". It matches the Rfam family "tRNA". Rfam says of the family: Transfer RNA (tRNA) molecules are approximately 80 nucleotides in length. Their secondary structure includes four short double-helical elements and three loops (D, anti-codon, and T loops). Lineage: Bacteria; Bacillati; Actinomycetota; Actinomycetes; Mycobacteriales; Corynebacteriaceae. The record is from RNAcentral.
GCUCCCAUCGUCUAGCGGCCUAGGACGCCGGCCUUUCACGCCGGUAACACGGGUUCAAAUCCCGUUGGGAGUACCA